Molecule: ribosomal RNA, 941 nt
Filed under: Campylobacter coli
Lineage: Bacteria; Pseudomonadati; Campylobacterota; Epsilonproteobacteria; Campylobacterales; Campylobacteraceae
Description: bacterial LSU rRNA
Rfam family: Bacterial large subunit ribosomal RNA
Source: RNAcentral
GUUUGCGCGGAAAAUAUAACGGGGCUAAAGUAAGUACCGAAGCUGUAGACUUGCGCACAACUUAGAUUAUUUAAGUUUAGAAUAUGAGAAACUAAGUUAUAUGUUUAGUUAUAUUUUUACUGAUUUUUAUAGAGUAAAGAUAGAAAUAAAACUUAGUAAAAUCAGUAAAAAUAUUCUUAGACUAAAGUUAAGUAGUUUAAGUUGUGUGCAAGUGGUAGGAGAGCGUUCUAUUUGCGUCGAAGGUAUACCGGUAAGGAGUGCUGGAGCGAAUAGAAGUGAGCAUGCAGGCAUGAGUAGCGAUAAUUAAUGUGAGAAUCAUUAACGCCGUAAACCCAAGGUUUCCUACGCGAUGCUCGUCAUCGUAGGGUUAGUCGGGUCCUAAGUCGAGUCCGAAAGGGGUAGACGAUGGCAAAUUGGUUAAUAUUCCAAUACCAACAUUAGUGUGCGAUGGAAGGACGCUUAGGGCUAAGGGGGCUAGCGGAUGGAAGUGCUAGUCUAAGGUCGUAGGAGGUUAUACAGGCAAAUCCGUAUAACAAUACUCCGAGAACUGAAAGGCUUUUUGAAGUCUUCGGAUGGAUAGAAGAACCCCUGAUGCCGUCGAGCCAAGAAAAGUUUCUAAGUUUAGCUAAUGUUGCCCGUACCGUAAACCGACACAGGUGGGUGGGAUGAGUAUUCUAAGGCGCGUGGAAGAACUCUCUUUAAGGAACUCUGCAAAAUAGCACCGUAUCUUCGGUAUAAGGUGUGGUUCGCUUCGUAUUAGGAUUUACUCCGAAAGCGAAGAAACUUACAACAAAGAGUCCCUCCCGACUGUUUACCAAAAACACAGCACUCUGCUAACUCGUAAGAGGAUGUAUAGGGUGUGACGCCUGCCCGGUGCUCGACGUUAAUUGAUGGGGUUAGCAUUAGCGAAGCUCUUGAUCGAAGCCCGAGUAAACGGCGGC